GGGAAGAUGCACGAGAGACGCUUCCCAAAAGCUCUGAGCCGUGACAUAGGAGUUCACAUCAGUUGGGGAACCACCGACCGAGUCCUUCGUUGCUUGAAAAAUGAAAUAGGUGCGUUCUCUGUUUUCAUCCAGACAAGGAUAUCUGAAC
RNAcentral lists this long non-coding RNA (148 nucleotides) under Columba livia (rock pigeon). Its description in RNAcentral is "partial uncharacterized LOC102086350". The record is from RNAcentral. Lineage: Eukaryota; Metazoa; Chordata; Aves; Columbiformes; Columbidae.